RNAcentral lists this long non-coding RNA (1293 nucleotides) under Marmota monax (woodchuck). Lineage: Eukaryota; Metazoa; Chordata; Mammalia; Rodentia; Sciuridae. The record is from RNAcentral.
CAUUAUCCUUAUUAUUAUUACCACUCUUUUGUCUGCCUGAAGCUGGUUCACAGUUCUUAGACAUGUGGCUUCCUGUGAUGUUGACAAAGCAUUCCAAUGAGCCAGUGAAUUUUCCAAAUUUGUUCUCCAGGUAUUUUCACAUCCUUAGAGAGGUGAUGGGGAAAAGCCAAACCCAAGCUGCCUGCAGCCAAAAUGAACAGUGGGCACAUUCCUGAAUCCAGCACUAUUUAAUCCUUCGGGGGUGAGCUCAAAGAGGACUGUGGGUCUUGAUUAAAGGUUUCAGUCUCCACCAAAGUACAGGGCCUGUUGUGAAAUCCAGCAUAUUUGUACAUAUUUAAAAAUACCUCUCCUCCUGCCAACCCCUCUUUCCCCAAGACUCUGCUCCGAGACGACUUUCUCUGGAAAGCCUCUCACCACCCCGUCCAGGCCACAGCCCACCCUAAGACUGUGUUCUUCUCCUUGUGUUCCUGGGCCCUGGGCAGAGUCACAGCACAACACCCGAGUUCCUAGGGCUGAUGUUCAGUGCAGUAGCACUAGUCCUGUGUGGCAAUUUGAAUCUGUACUGAAAUUAAUGCAGAUGUGACACAUGCUCGCCACACUUUGAGUCCUCAGUAGCCACCAGUGGGUAUCAUGGUGGGCAGCACAGAUCUGUGCUAUUUGUCAUUAUAGAACCUUCUAUGGGACAGGGCUGCCCUAGCAGGGCGGAAGCAUGUUCUUUCUUAGUUUGGGACUCGCAGGGGGCUGAAGAGACAGCCUUGAGAAGCGGGCGGAUCCCAGUUCGAAUCCCAGCUGCUGAUCUUACAAGCUGUGUGACUUAGCAACGUUCAACUUCUCUGUGCCUGUCUCACUCCGUGGGGUCUUGAGGGCCGUGUAAGUUAAUGCAUACAAAGGGCUUCAGAGAAGCAAGGGUAACACACAGUGAGCACCAUGCAGGAGUUGGCUUCUGUCAUCUGCCUGCCCUUGGAAAGCAGCCAGCGCACAGUAGGCCCUGUUAAAUGUUUGCUGUUGCCUGAGCAAAUGAAUGAAAGAAUCAUUGGCGGCACAGACUUUAUUCUUGGCUCUAGUGAAAGCAGAAUACUUCUUUUGAAACCAAAUAUGAUUGCUAUUAACACUAGCUCCCACUUACUCAGCACUUACUGGGUACCAGGUGCUGCGCCCAGUGUGGUGUACACCUCUUCCCAGGGAGGCACCCAAGGGCUUACUAUUCUCAAGCCCCCUUUCACAGAUGAGAAACUGAGGCUCAGAGACAUGAAGCCAUUGUGCAGGGAGAAGCUGUGCAGCUUCAGUGGAGGU